This 301-nucleotide ribosomal RNA is filed under the name uncultured bacterium. Its description in RNAcentral is "partial 16S ribosomal RNA". It matches the Rfam family "Bacterial small subunit ribosomal RNA", at positions 509 to 807 of the family's 1533-position model. The record is from RNAcentral.
CAGUCGCCGCGGUAAAACGAAGGGUGCAAGCGUUAAUCGGAAUUACUGGGCGUAAAGCGUGCGUAGGCGGUUUGUUAAGUCUGCUGUGAAAUCCCCGGGCUCAACCUGGGAAUGGCAGUGGAUACUGGCAAGCUAGAGUGUGUCAGAGGAUGGUGGAAUUCCCGGUGUAGCGGUGAAAUGCGUAGAGAUCGGGAGGAACAUCAGUGGCGAAGGCGGCCAUCUGGGACAACACUGACGCUGAGGCACGAAAGCGUGGGGAGCAAACAGGAUUAGAUACCCCCGUAGUCCCUGUCUCUUAUAC